RNAcentral lists this transfer RNA (76 nucleotides) under Mesotoga prima MesG1.Ag.4.2. Its description in RNAcentral is "tRNA-Pro (CGG) (tRNA-Pro-CGG-1-1)". It matches the Rfam family "tRNA". From Rfam's summary of the family: Transfer RNA (tRNA) molecules are approximately 80 nucleotides in length. Their secondary structure includes four short double-helical elements and three loops (D, anti-codon, and T loops). Further hydrogen bonds mediate the characteristic L-shaped molecular structure. tRNAs have two regions of fundamental functional importance: the anti-codon, which is responsible for specific mRNA codon recognition, and the 3' end, to which the tRNAs corresponding amino acid is attached (by aminoacyl-tRNA synthetases). tRNAs cope with the degeneracy of the genetic code in two manners: having more than one tRNA (with a specific anti-codon) for a particular amino acid; and 'wobble' base-pairing, i.e. permitting non-standard base-pairing at the 3rd anti-codon position. Lineage: Bacteria; Thermotogati; Thermotogota; Thermotogae; Kosmotogales; Kosmotogaceae. RNAcentral also lists the same sequence under 6 other names. The record is from RNAcentral.
CAGGAAGUAGUUCAGUUGGAAGAACGCUGGUUUCGGGAACCAGAGGUCCGGGGUUCGAGUCCCCGCUUCCUGACCA